Mustela putorius furo (domestic ferret) is the source of this 809-nucleotide long non-coding RNA. Ensembl lists it as uncharacterized. NCBI's taxonomy places the organism in Eukaryota, Metazoa, Chordata, Mammalia, Carnivora, Mustelidae. The record is from Ensembl.
AAAGGCCCUGUCUGUGUAGACAUACGUUUCCUGUAACCCUGUAAGUGGCUGUCAGGUUUGGGGUUUAUACAAAGCUGUGGCUAGGUUCUAGUCAUACUUUACAUGAUUUAGAAAGACGGCAAACAUUGGAACUAGAAGCCUAUUGUUUUCUUAUUUUCUUGGGAAAUUGGUGAUGACAUCAAAGAUACUUUUUGCAAACCAUGAUGGGAGACCCUGUGGACAGCCACAGAAGGACAGUGUGUUCAUCCAGCAUGGAGGUUUUUGAUACAUGAAGCAUCAUUCUUCUUCACCUCCCUAACAGCCCGAGUUAAAGCUGCACCAGAACAUGGGUUCAUCGUUUUGGCUGAAGACAGCCCUCAUGACCUACUUUGCUUCUGAAGCUCUGACCUAGAAUAGACUUAGAAUGGGAUAAGGACAAUGGGCUGGAAGUGAUGGAGCUCAGGGUCAGUUGACCCAUGCAACUAGAGAAAGGACAAGCUCUAAUAUUAUGAAAAGCAUCUGUUUGUUGUGAUUCUAUGUGCCAAGCCUUAUGCUAGACACAGUCUUAGCCUCCCACAACAAGCUUGCAAGGGAGGCAAUUAAUGACCCACGGAUGUGGAGUGGUUUUAAGUAACAUGUUCUAGCUCAGAAGCUAGGAUAAGUUAGCCCCUAGGUCUCUGCCUUUUCCCUCUGUUAUACUGCCUUUCCUAGACUAGAAAUUAAAGCAGAUAUUUCAAUUCAGUUGCUUAAAUUCUCCUGUGUAACCCAGGAAAGCAAAAGGUAUUGCCUGGGAGAAAAAUAUCUAGUUGUAAAAAAAUAAAAAUCCUCAU